AUUGAACGCUGGCGGCAUGCCUUACACAUGCAAGUCGAACGGCAGCGCGGGCUUCGGCCUGGCGGCGAGUGGCGAACGGGUGAGUAAUAUAUCGGAACGUACCCAAGAGUGGGGGAUAACGUAGCGAAAGUUACGCUAAUACCGCAUACGAUCUAAGGAUGAAAGCAGGGGAUCGCAAGACCUUGUGCUCCUGGAGCGGCCGAUAUCUGAUUAGCUAGUUGGUGGGGUAAAGGCCCACCAAGGCAACGAUCAGUAGCUGGUCUGAGAGGACGACCAGCCACACUGGAACUGAGACACGGUCCAGACUCCUACGGGAGGCAGCAGUAGGGAAUAUUGCACAAAUGGAGGGAAACUCUGAUGCAGCGACGCCGCGUGAGUGAUGAAGGCCUGGUC
This 393-nucleotide ribosomal RNA is filed under the name uncultured bacterium. Its description in RNAcentral is "bacterial SSU rRNA". It matches the Rfam family "Bacterial small subunit ribosomal RNA", at positions 30 to 424 of the family's 1533-position model. The record is from RNAcentral.